ACUCCUACGGGAGGCAGCAGUGGGAAUAUUGCACAAUGGGCGCAAGCCUGAUGCAGCCAUGCCGCGUGUGUGAAGAAGGCCUUCGGGUUGUAAAGCACUUUCAGCAGUGAGGAAGGUGGGUAUGUUAAUAGCAUACUCAUUUGACGUUAGCUGCAGAAGAAGCACCGGCUAACUCCGUGCCAGCAGCCGCGGUAAUACGGAGGGUGCGAGCGUUAAUCGGAAUUAUUGGGUUUAAAGGGUCCGUAGGCGGGCCGGUAAGUCAGGGGUGAAAGUCUGUAGCUCAACUAUAGAACUGCCUUUGAUACUGCCGGUCUUGAGUCACGGUGAAGUUGCCGGAAUAUGUGGUGUAGCGGUGAAAUGCAUAGAUAUCACAUAGAACACCGAUUGCGAAGGCAGGUGACUAACCGUGUACUGACGCUGAUGGACGAAAGCGUGGGGAGCGAACAGGAUUAGAUACCCUGGUAGGCUCUGCU
Molecule: ribosomal RNA, 473 nt
Filed under: uncultured bacterium
Lineage: Bacteria
Description: bacterial SSU rRNA
Rfam family: Bacterial small subunit ribosomal RNA
Source: RNAcentral